This 280-nucleotide ribosomal RNA is filed under the name uncultured prokaryote. RNAcentral's name for it is "partial 16S ribosomal RNA". It matches the Rfam family "Bacterial small subunit ribosomal RNA", at positions 524 to 803 of the family's 1533-position model. The record is from RNAcentral.
UACGUAGGGGCUAGCGUUAUCCGGAAUUACUGGGCGUAAAGGGUGCGUAGGUGGUUUCUUAAGUCAGAGGUGAAAGGCUACGGCUCAACCGUAGUAAGCCUUUGAAACUGGGAAACUUGAGUGCAGGAGAGGAGAGUGGAAUUCCUAGUGUAGCGGUGAAAUGCGUAGAUAUUAGGAGGAGCACCAGUUGCGAAGGCGGCUCUCUGGACUGUAACUGACACUGAGGCACGAAAGCGUGGGGAGCAAACAGGAUUAGAUACCCCGGUAGUCCCUGAGCGGG